RNAcentral lists this long non-coding RNA (1960 nucleotides) under Nicotiana benthamiana. RNAcentral's name for it is "long non-coding RNA (NBEN_LNC040481)". The record is from RNAcentral. Lineage: Eukaryota; Viridiplantae; Streptophyta; Magnoliopsida; Solanales; Solanaceae.
GUCAGGUUGUCGCAUUUCUCCCUCAACGUCGAUCUCUCUAGAAUCUCCUUCUUCCGUCGGCGAACUCAUUCCGAUCUCUUUCUCUGGCGAAUUCCACUCGUAAGAAACUCUCCAAUCUCUCUUCUGUUCCAAUAUUCUUUUCUUUUGUAAUUAAACUGAUUCUAUAAUCAAAUUUUCUUCCCGUAUUGUUUUAAAUUUAAGCUGGCAUUACAUGCUGAUUGCUUGUAUGAAAAAUCAGUGUAGUAAUUAAUACAAUAAAAAGGUAGAACCUUUAUCAUUGUUUUAUGGGUCCUGCUCUUGCAUCACUUUAGUGGAACUUUGCGACUAUCAAGUCAUUUUUCCAUUCUUGCUAAUUAUAUUAAAAUUCCAGGUUUCAUUUUUUUCUUCUCACGGGCCAUAAGAUCAAGGUUAGUUUGUUAGAUUACUUGAAAAUCAAUAUCUCUAUUAAAAGUAACUAAUAACUCGCAAUUAUUAGUUUCUUUUUCCUUGGAAGGAGCAAUUGAUAGGAACAUGUUGCUGUCGAGAAUUGUGGUAGAAGGUUAGUAGGCAGUCGUGUGUGUGUCUUUCCCGUACCAGUAGGAUUAGUUUUUAACCUUGUAUGUGAUAAAUAUCUGUGACUACAUGUUGUUAAGUACGUUUGUUUUCUUAAUUAAAUUGUUGUUGCUACUGCUAUCUUUUCAUCUUUUUUUGAUACGGGUCUAUCAGAAACCUCUCUACCUUCAAGGUAGGGGUAAGUUUUGUGUACAACCCAAUUGUGGGAUUAUAUUGAGUUUUGUUGUUGUUGUUGUUGUUAUUGAAGGAGCAAUUAUUAUUAGUUCUUGAAGGGUGCACUGUAGUGUAUACUACAUCCAGGAGUUUGGUAAUCUUGUUUGAUUGAAAAAUGACCCCUGAAAUUAUGUAGUGAAUUAGUUACAAGAGAUGUAGAAGAAGAAGUGGGAGCACGAUAACUUCAGCUUAUUGAGUAAUUUGUAUGCCUGUUGUAUUUAGCAUCAAAUAUACUUUAGCUUGUUGGUCUACAAUCUCAGCGGAAGCUAAAAAUUCUGUCUAAACCUUGAUGAGAGGAAUUACCCGGUACUUGUGUUGGUGGGCUAGUAGCAGGUAUCGGGUGAAUAGCGAGUUACACGCAAGUUUGACUGAUACCACCAUCAUUAAAAAAAAGAGAAAAAGAGAGAAGAAUCAUGUUGGUCUAGUGAAUCUGCUUGUAGCACAUUGGAUAUUCUGCUUCUUUUGCAUAUCCAUGUUACAACUGGCAAUACAUGGUGGUUUCUCAAAAUGAUUGUUCAUUUUGAUACUUGAAGCUAAUUCUAAUAUUAAAACAAUAAAUCAAGCUUUCCUUGCCUAUUCACUGAUGAAGACAAGCUUGAGGUUGACGAUUUUUGCCAGAAAUAAAAAAACAAACAAAAGGAAUUUGAUGUUUUUGGGGUAUGAUGAGAUGUGAAUAGUUUUCUGUUUUUCAAGUUUAAUUAGUGCCUGAAAUGGGUAAAUGUUGUCCUUUGAUUAUGCUGUGUAGUGCCAGACUUGUUUGAGGAUUCUUGUGGGAUUUGAGGUCUGCAAAUAGGCAAUAAGUUAACAUAAGAAGACAGGAAAAGGAUAAAAUCUGGGUGUUGCACUCGGGGUUCUUUAGCGUUUAGUUGUAUCAUCCAUCUUCUCUUGUGUACAUUUUAGAGACUCACGCAAAUCAAAUAUGGAGUUCAAACUCGUCCUUACAUCAUUUGACUUUUAUCUGGGUUGUCAGCUCAAUCCAACUCUUUCACAAAUUUAAUCCUUGAAACGCCAGUUAGGUAGUUAUUGUUGUUUUUGAUGACUUGAUGGUCGAUUGCCUAGUAUCCCUGCGGAAUGAAAAAAAACUGCAAUGAUACAUUAUUCUGCGUUACUCGCAAAAGGAGGGGUGGAUGGGUUUUUGAUUUUCUUAUCCUGGUGAAUUUUCACCUAUUAUACCUAGAUAGGAACAUGGAGAAAU